CGAAAGCCUGACGGAGCAAGACGCGUGAGGGAGGAAGGUCUAGGGUUGUAAACCUCUUUUAUCAGGGAAGAAGCUCUGACGGUACCUGAGGAAUCAGCAUCGGCUAACUCCGUGCCAGCAGCCGCGGGUAUACGGAGGAUGCAAGCGUUAUCCGGAAUCAUUGGGCGUAAAGCGUCCGCAGGUGGGAGUUCAAGUCGAUUGUCAAAGGCAGUAGCUUAACUACUGAAAGGCAGUUGGGAACUGAACAACUAGAGUGCGGAAGGGGUAGAGGGAAUUCCCGGUUGUAGCGGGUGAAAUGCGUAGAGAUCGGGAAAGAACACCAGUGGCGAAAGCGCUCUGCUGGACCGGCACUGACACUGAGGGACGAAAAGCUAGGGGAGCG
RNAcentral lists this ribosomal RNA (382 nucleotides) under uncultured cyanobacterium. RNAcentral describes it as "bacterial SSU rRNA". It matches the Rfam family "Bacterial small subunit ribosomal RNA", at positions 376 to 770 of the family's 1533-position model. The record is from RNAcentral. Lineage: Bacteria; Bacillati; Cyanobacteriota.